This is a non-coding RNA of Leopardus geoffroyi (Geoffroy's cat), 407 nucleotides long. The record is from the annotation of a RefSeq genome assembly. NCBI's taxonomy places the organism in Eukaryota, Metazoa, Chordata, Mammalia, Carnivora, Felidae.
GGAGCCCCAGACCCGGAGGUAACUGGUGUUCCCAUUCUGUCAUCAGGACAGAACACAGAAACCUCACCAUGGAGUUUGGGCUGGGCUGGGUGUUCCUGGUUGCUCUUUUAAAAGGUGUCCACUGUGACGUGCUGGUGGUGGAGUCUGGGGGAGACCUGGUGAAACCUGGGGGGUCCCCCAGACUCACCUGUGUAGCCUCUGGAUUCACCUUCAGUGGCUAUGACAUGAACUGGGUCCGCCAGGCUCCAGGAAAGGGGCUGCAGUGGGUCACAUAUAUUAGUAAUAGUGGAGGUAGCACAAGCUACGCAGACUUCGUGAAGGGCCUAUUCACCAUCUCCAGAGACAACGCCAAGAACAUGCUGUACUGCAGAUGAACAAUCUGAGGGCUGAGGACACGGCCACGUAUU